Molecule: ribosomal RNA, 832 nt
Filed under: uncultured bacterium
Lineage: Bacteria
Description: bacterial SSU rRNA
Rfam family: Bacterial small subunit ribosomal RNA
Source: RNAcentral
GGAUGGAAACUNCCAAUCUAGAGUAUCGGAGAGGAAAGUGGAAUUCNUAGUGUAGCGGUGAAAUGCGUAGAUAUUAGGAAGANCACCAGUGGCGAAGGCGACUUUCUGGACGAAAACUGACGCUGAGGCGCGAAAGCCAGGGGAGCGAACGGGAUUAGAUACCCCGGUAGUCCUGGCCGUAAACGAUGGGUACUAGGUGUAGGAGGUAUCGACCCCUUCUGUGCUGGAGUUAACGCAAUAAGUACCCCGCCUGGGGAGUACGACCGCAAGGUUGAAACUCAAAGGAAUUGACGGGGGCCCGCACAAGCGGUGGAGUAUGUGGUUUAAUUCGACGCAACGCGAAGAACCUUACCAGGUCUUGACAUUGAUGGACAGAACUAGAGAUAGUUCCUCUUCUUCGGAAGCCAGAAAACAGGUGGUGCACGGUUGUCGUCAGCUCGUGUCGUGAGAUGUUGGGUUAAGUCCCGCAACGAGUGCAACCCCUAUCUUAUGUUGCCAGCACGUAAAGGUGGGAACUCAUGAGAGACUGCCGCUGACAAUGCGGAGGAAGGCGGGGAUGACGUCAAAUCAUCAUGCCCCUUAUGACCUGGGCUACACACGUACUACAAUGGGAGUUAAUAGACGGAAGCGAGAUCGCGAGAUGGAGCAAACCCGAGAAACACUCUCUCAGUUCGGAUCGUAGGCUGCAACUCGCCUACGUGAAGUCGGAAUCGCUAGUAAUCGCAGGUCAGCAUACUGCGGUGAAUACGUUCCCGGGCCUUGUACACACCGCCCGUCACACCACGAAAGUCGGAAGUGCCCAAAGCCGGUGGGGUAACCUUCGGGAGCCAGC